This 407-nucleotide ribosomal RNA is filed under the name Hemimerus sp. DM29. Its description in RNAcentral is "eukaryotic LSU rRNA". It matches the Rfam family "Eukaryotic large subunit ribosomal RNA", at positions 24 to 408 of the family's 3401-position model. The record is from RNAcentral. Lineage: Eukaryota; Metazoa; Arthropoda; Insecta; Dermaptera; Hemimeridae.
CCCGCGUAAUUUAAGCAUAUUAAUAAGCGGAGGAAAAGAAACUAACAAGGAUUCCCUUAGUAGCUGCGAGCGAACAGGGAGGAGCUCAGCAUAAAAUCUUGUAACUUGACAGUUAUCAAGAGAUGUUAUGUUUAGGGAGUUUCGUUUAUCCUAGGAUGUACACUUAGUCCAAGUCCACCUUGAAUGGGGCAUUACCCAUAGAGGGUGCCAGUCCCGUAGUGACAAGUGUAUAAAAAUCAUUCUAGGUGAAACUUUCCUUAGAGUCGGGUUGCUUGUAAAUGCAGCUCUAAGUGGGUGGUAAACUCCAUCUAAAGCUAAAUAUGACCACGAGACCGAUAGCGAACAAGUACCAUGAGGGAAAGUUGAAAAGAACUUUGAAGAGAGAGUUCAAGAGUACGUGAAACCGU